Molecule: ribosomal RNA, 155 nt
Filed under: ascomycete sp. VTT D-041031
Lineage: Eukaryota; Fungi; Ascomycota
Description: 5.8S ribosomal RNA
Rfam family: 5.8S ribosomal RNA
About the family: 5.8S ribosomal RNA (5.8S rRNA) is a component of the large subunit of the eukaryotic ribosome. It is transcribed by RNA polymerase I as part of the 45S precursor that also contains 18S and 28S rRNA.
Source: RNAcentral
ACUUUCAACAACGGAUCUCUUGGCUCCAGCAUCGAUGAAGAACGCAGCGGACGCGAUAUGUAAUGUGAAUUGCAGAAUUCAGUGAAUCAUCGAAUCUUUGAACGCACAUGGCGCCUUCCAGUAUCCUGGGAGGCAUGCCUGUCCGAGCGUCGUUU